RNAcentral lists this long non-coding RNA (253 nucleotides) under Physcomitrium patens. Its description in RNAcentral is "long non-coding RNA (PPAT_LNC001316)". The record is from RNAcentral. Lineage: Eukaryota; Viridiplantae; Streptophyta; Bryopsida; Funariales; Funariaceae.
AGAUCUUGGUUCAUAACCGGCCUUCUUUGGGUAGCAAUAUCUAGUUUUUUUAAGUAAAUUUUGCUAGAAUUUACUCUUAACUUCUUUCUAAAGAUGCCUAUAUCAUUUAUUUUUCUGAUCUACUUUAUUUUGUCUUACUUAUGGUCCUACAAAGUAAGUAUAAGUCACAUUUCUAAGAGGCAACAUUGAUACCUUUUUGUUUUAUUACCCUUUUGACUAUUAACUAUAUUUCUAAGAUAAUUUUUUCUAAUAC